Molecule: ribosomal RNA, 253 nt
Filed under: uncultured bacterium
Lineage: Bacteria
Description: partial 16S ribosomal RNA
Rfam family: Bacterial small subunit ribosomal RNA
Source: RNAcentral
UACAGAGGUCUCAAGCGUUGUUCGGAUUUAUUGGGCGUAAAGGGUGCGUAGGCGGCGUGGUAAGUCUGAUGUGAAAUCUCGGAGCUUAACUCCGAAACUGCAUUCGAUACUGCCGUGCUUGAGGACUGGAGAGGAGACUGGAAUUUACGGUGUAGCGGUGAAAUGCGUAGAUAUCGUAAGGAAGACCAGUGGCGAAGGCGGGUCUCUGGACAGUUCCUGACGCUGAGGCACGAAAGCCAGGGGAGCAAACGGG